This 99-nucleotide ribosomal RNA is filed under the name uncultured bacterium. RNAcentral describes it as "partial 16S ribosomal RNA". It matches the Rfam family "Bacterial small subunit ribosomal RNA", at positions 392 to 508 of the family's 1533-position model. The record is from RNAcentral.
CAACGCCGCGUGGGUGAGGAAGGCCUUCGGUCGUAAAGCCUUUUGUUGGGGACGAAGUGGUGACGGUACCCGACGAAGAAGCCACGGCUAACUACGUGC